UACGAAGGGGGCUAGCGUUGCUCGGCAUUACUGGGCGUAAAGGGCGCGUAGGCGGCACUGUUAGUCAGGCGUGAAAGUCCUGGGCUCAACCUGGGAACUGCCUUUGAUACUGAAGAUCUUGAGUUCGGGAGAGGUGAGUGGAACUGCGAGUGUAGAGGUGAAAUUCGUAGAUAUUCGCAAGAACACCAGUGGCGAAGGCGGCUCACUGGCCCGAUACUGACGCUGAGGCACGAAAGCGUGGGGAGCAAACAGG
Molecule: ribosomal RNA, 253 nt
Filed under: uncultured bacterium
Lineage: Bacteria
Description: partial 16S ribosomal RNA
Rfam family: Bacterial small subunit ribosomal RNA
Source: RNAcentral